CUCUUUAUCCAGGCAAGUUGGCAAGUUUAAUGGUUACAUUCUUUCUGGGCAUUCUAGGUUACCAUGGCAUCCAGGCUGGCAAAGCAGCCUGUGUGUGUUCUCUUGGAAGCAGAAGAUAAAGGGAACUGCUCCCAGCACAGUGUCUGCAACAAAAUUGCUUGACCGCUUUGAAGAAGAGGGCCACGUUUCGAAGUUCACUGGCAGGCCUGGCGUCCAGCCUAGUGAGGGUCCAAAGUUGGCACCGAGGAAGCGUUGGAUGAGUAAGUGACUCUUGGAAAGUUUGGGAUUUCUUCAAUGAAAGCAACAACGUGACAAUGAAGUCUUGUCACCGUGGGCCACCUCUGAAAACCACAUCGAGAGCGGCGCACGGCUUGGCCGAUCCACAUGCCCAUGACUUUCCCGUUUGAAACCUCAGUGCUGAGCAGGCUGUAGCAGCACUCUGCCUGAGUUCUUUAUUGAGUAUGCUUCUCUUUUGAUCUGCUUCUAAUUUACCUUGUUCUUUGUGCUGCCUGCUGGUCUAU
Long non-coding RNA from Fukomys damarensis (Damara mole-rat), 521 nucleotides. RefSeq lists it as uncharacterized. The record is from RefSeq and is a predicted model, not a curated record. The transcript has 3 exons. NCBI's taxonomy places the organism in Eukaryota, Metazoa, Chordata, Mammalia, Rodentia, Bathyergidae.